CUACGGGUCGCACCAGUGGGGAAUAUUGCACAAUGGGCGCAAGCCUGAUGCAGCCAUGCCGCGUGUAUGAAGAAGGCCUUCGGGUUGUAAAGUACUUUCAGCGGGGAGGAAGGGAGUAAAGUUAAUACCUUUGCUCAUUGACGUUACCCGCAGAAGAAGCACCGGCUAACUCCGUGCCAGCAGCCGCGGUAAUACGGAGGGUGCAAGCGUUAAUCGGAAUUACUGGGCGUAAAGCGCACGCAGGCGGUUUGUUAAGUCAGAUGUGAAAUCCCCGGGCUCAACCUGGGGACUGCAUCUGAUACUGGCAAGCUUGAGUCUCGUAGAGGGGGGUAGAAUUCCAGGUGUAGCGGUGAAAUGCGUAGAGAUCUGGAGGAAUACCGGUGGCGAAGGCGGCCCCCUGGACGAAGACUGACGCUCAGGUGCGAAAGCGUGGGGAGCAAACAGGAUUAGAUACCCGCGUAGUC
This 464-nucleotide ribosomal RNA is filed under the name uncultured bacterium. RNAcentral's name for it is "partial 16S ribosomal RNA". It matches the Rfam family "Bacterial small subunit ribosomal RNA", at positions 339 to 795 of the family's 1533-position model. The record is from RNAcentral.